AUGGGGAACAAUUUCAGCGAACAAAUCUGUUGUGUGACUUGUGGGAGAUGUAAGAAGCGGGAGGCAGAGGAAGCAACUGAAGAGACCAGUGAGACCAAGCCAAUUUUGCAGACCUCAGGGGAAACAUCAAUAUGCAUUGACAAGCAGCCUCCCACACAGGUCCUGAAAUCCUCCAAAAGAGGCCCUGAAGAGGUGUGGUCACUGUGCCAGGACCCAAGGCUGUUGGCUGGCACUGUGAAGGACAGCAGAGAGACCUACCCUGAUGCAGAACCUGUGGGAAUAGCUGAGGGUCAGAAGGCAGCCUGGGACUCUACAGCUUUCUUGGUGGCCUCUGCAGUUAUGGAGACCAAUGGAGAAGCUGAAGUCUUAACCCAAAUAGAAAACCAGCAAGAAAGGGAGAAAGCAGGUAACACAGAAGAGAGAAAAACUAUUCCUCAGGCUUCUGAGGCCCAGCCGGUUUUAUACACAGCUCAGGAUGUUAAGCUUAUUGCAGAUAUAGGACAAUCUGGUGAAUGGGCUGUGACGGCCAGUGAGGAUGCCCCAUGUGCUGAAAUGGCUCUCCAAGAAACAGAUCUCCUCAAGCUCAUGCAGGCCACAGGUGAGACUGCAGCUGGCCCCAGCUGUGAGAUCCAGCCUCCUGCAGAGACUGGUGAGAGUCUGAUGGGAAGGAACCUGUCACUGUAUGCUGUGCUGAUGGUAGAGGAGACUGGGACCUACCCCUCUGCUGAGCACACGGAAGAGACGGAUGGGGCUAAGCCUGCUGAAGUAAGUCCUCAAUUGAUCGAGAGGGCCGAGCUUUUGUGUCUCUCUGAGACAGCAUCUCUACCUCUGGUGCAGGCUACACAAAAGGCUAAGGAGACAGUGGAUCCUUCAGAAGUCUUACCAAAAGAUAUGGCUGAAAUGGAAUUUACUUCUGUGAUCUCUUGUGAGUCCCUGUCUACAGGAGGGAAAUCUCUAGAGCCAGCAAACCAGCUUCUUGACUCUUUAUGGCAAGAGACCCAGCCUAGUGUGCUGACUGCACAGGAGGUGCAGAGCCUAUGUUGUACAGAGCCUGCUGAACUAGGGGAGGUUGUUGGUCCUUCAGGUGACCAAGAUAGAGUCAUCUGUCAUCUGGUGGAAGAUGAAGAGGUGAGGGAAAGUGAUCCAAAAACUCCAGCAGCUGAGGCAGGGCAGCAGCACAGAGUCAUGCAGCAAGUCACAGAUGAACCAUUACCUUGUACAGAGAUCUCUGUGGAAGAGAAAGCAGAGUCCCUGAAUGUGGCACCCUUGCUGUCUGAAGUACUUGGAGUGGAGGAAAAGUAG
This 1302-nucleotide long non-coding RNA is filed under the name Apteryx haastii (Great spotted kiwi). Its description in RNAcentral is "lncRNA (ENSAHAG00000007060.1)". The record is from RNAcentral. Lineage: Eukaryota; Metazoa; Chordata; Aves; Apterygiformes; Apterygidae.